Long non-coding RNA from Rosa rugosa (rugosa rose), 1176 nucleotides. RefSeq lists it as uncharacterized. The transcript has 2 exons. NCBI's taxonomy places the organism in Eukaryota, Viridiplantae, Streptophyta, Magnoliopsida, Rosales, Rosaceae. The record is from RefSeq and is a predicted model, not a curated record.
CACCAUUGGCAUUAGUGACAGCUGACAUACGAGCAUGGGAUAGGUUUUUUUAUGACACUAGGAUCAUGAGCCAUAUGAUCAGUUGCACCUGAGUCAAUUAUCACAUAUCUUUCCAUUUAAAGUUUGAAUUUUUCAAAGAGUGGCCAUAUGUAGCUAAGUUGGCAAAAGUACUAAUUUACCUCAUUCAUCAUCAAUGACAUCUUGGAGAGAGACAUAUUAUUGGUACAAAAUAUAAUCUCCUAUAAUCUUUUGAUUGAGCUGCCAUUUCGGGUCUAGUCAGGUCGGAUUGGAUUGAUGCAGGUCGGGUCGGACCGUCGGAGCCAGAAUUCACAGUCAGAGUACUUAAAUUCUAGCCUUCUGGAUGUUGAUGAGGCCGGUGUUUGAUCGAACCCACUGAAUCGACCUGCUACUGCAUGACGGUGACUGCUCCGGUAAGCAACGAUGAUGGCUGCACGACAUUGGCUACUCCGGUAAGCAACAAAGACAAGCAAUGUCGUCAUUGUUAGAUGAACAGAAGCUCGAUCAAGUCUGGUUGGAAGGUCCGGCGAAUUCUACCAUAGGUGUUCGUUGAGAAAUCACACAGUCUGGGCAGCGCCGGAAUCUGGGAGAGGAUGUCAGAAGUUUCUGCUCUGGUCGGAGUCCAAGUCGGAUCGUCUUGGUAUUCCCUUAAUUUUGGGCACGAUUUCUGUUGGUGAUCUGGGUCUGGUUUGAGUUUGAUCUCUGCUGGAAUUAUGGUCCGAGUUCCAGUCCGAUCUUUACCGAAACUAUGGUCUAGAUUCGAUGAUGAUCUCUGGGUAUAUGGAAUGGGUAUAUGGUAUGAAUCUGUUUCUAGUAUUGGUUUAGGUAUUGGUAUGGAUAAUUGGCUAUGGUACGGAUCUGGUAUGGGUAUUGUGUAUGAGAGCAAAAAAGGUUGUUCUUGGUAUGGCUAAGAUGAAGAACUUCAACCAAAAAAUAAAAGAUGAAGAACUUCAAAAGAAAUUAUUUAGAAUUUCAGCAGCGGAAUUUUGUAUGAGAGAUUUAGAUCUCAAAGAGCGUUUGCUCUUAUAUCAUGUUAAACAGCAACAAGUGUGGCUUGUAGCCCACAAUUGUACUUAUACGUCUCAACUUAAUUACCUGUUAGGUGUUAAGUUUUAAUCACAAAAGAUCUCGAUAUAAUUAAUUAUAUUUUAUUUGUCA